AUUGAACGCUGGCGGCAUGCCUUACACAUGCAAGUCGAACGGCAGCAUGGAGCUUGCUCUGGUGGCGAGUGGCGAACGGGUGAGUAAUAUAUCGGAACGUACCCAAGAGUGGGUGAUAACGUAGCGCAAGGUACGCUAAUACCGCAUACGAUCUAAGGAUGAAAGUAGGGGAACGCAAGACCGUGUGCCGCUGUGUCGUCCGAUAUCUGAUUAGCUAGUUGGUGAGGUAAAGGCUCACCAAGGCAUAGAUCAGUAGCUGGUCUGAUAGGACGACCAGCCACACUAGAGCUGAGACACGGUACAGACUCCUACGUAAGGCAGAAGUGGGGAAUUUUGGACAGUGGGGGCAACCCUGAUCCAGCAAUGCCGCGGGAGUGAAGAAGGCCUUCGGGUUGUAAAGCUCUUUUGUCAGGGAAGAAACGGUCGUGGCUAAUAUCCAUGGAUAAUGACGGUACCUGAAGAAUAAGCACCGGCUAACUACGUGCCAGCCGCCGCCGUAA
RNAcentral lists this ribosomal RNA (500 nucleotides) under uncultured bacterium. RNAcentral describes it as "partial 16S ribosomal RNA". It matches the Rfam family "Bacterial small subunit ribosomal RNA", at positions 30 to 523 of the family's 1533-position model. The record is from RNAcentral.